CCUACGGGGCGCAGCAGUAGGGAAUAUUGCUCAAUGGGGGAAACCCUGAAGCAGCAACGCCGCGUGGAGGAUGAAGGUUUUCGGAUUGUAAACUCCUUUUGUUAGAGAAGAUAAUGACGGUAUCUAACGAAUAAGCACCGGCUAACUCCGUGCCAGCAGCCGCGGUAAUACGGAGGGUGCAAGCGUUACUCGGAAUCACUGGGCGUAAAGAGCGCGUAGGCGGGAUAGCAAGUCAGAUGUGAAAUCCUAUGGCUUAACCAUAGAACUGCAUUUGAAACUGUUAUUCUAGAGUAUGGGAGAGGUAGGUGGAAUUCUUGAUGUAGGGGUAAAAUGCGUAGAGAUCAAGAGGAAUACUCAUUGCGAAGGCGACCUGCUAGAACAUAACUGACGCUGAUGCGCGAAAGCGUGGGGAGCAAACAGGAUUAGAUACCCCAGUAGUC
This 440-nucleotide ribosomal RNA is filed under the name uncultured bacterium. Its description in RNAcentral is "partial 16S ribosomal RNA". It matches the Rfam family "Bacterial small subunit ribosomal RNA", at positions 338 to 795 of the family's 1533-position model. The record is from RNAcentral.